GCCUAUUGGCUUUCUUGCCGGUUCUCAAAAAGCUAGGCAACACUGGGAUUGGUUAGUAUUUGGAUAGGAGGCUAUUUAGAAAUGCCAGGUGCUGUAGGCU
This 100-nucleotide ribosomal RNA is filed under the name Salvator merianae (Argentine black and white tegu). The record is from RNAcentral. Lineage: Eukaryota; Metazoa; Chordata; Lepidosauria; Squamata; Teiidae.